Molecule: long non-coding RNA, 233 nt
Filed under: Elaeis guineensis (African oil palm)
Lineage: Eukaryota; Viridiplantae; Streptophyta; Magnoliopsida; Arecales; Arecaceae
Description: long non-coding RNA (EGUI_LNC044075)
Source: RNAcentral
UUCAUGCAAAGAAAAGCUAAGCUUACUUAGAUGCUUGAUCUGUUCGAUUAUGUACAAUAUAUGAUCGGUGACUGAUGCUCCCUCCCUCAUCCGCAUAUUAAAAAUGACACAACUAAUCUUGUGCCACUCAACAUCAUCGGGAGUGCCAAAAGUCUCUUUCAACACCUUGAGCAUGUCUUCUAGCUGAGCUUCUUAAAACUUUUGACUGAACUCAUCAUUCAUGGCAGCCCGCA